This is a non-coding RNA of Equus caballus (horse), 1957 nucleotides long. The record is from RefSeq and is a predicted model, not a curated record. Lineage: Eukaryota; Metazoa; Chordata; Mammalia; Perissodactyla; Equidae.
CGGAAGUACAGUGUCAGUGGGUUGAAGUCCUUCGACUGCUUCCACUGUCUGGUCAUCAGGGGAGCGCCAUCCCUUCUCUACCACAUGACCCCGGGGCCUCAGCCCCCCCAGCCCUCUUCUCAUCUCCGUACUUCUGAGAGUUGAGCUGUUCAAUGACCUGGAAGAACUUGGCAUCCCCGGUGUCCAAUUCCUCAUCUAGUCCCCGGGGGGUACGGCUCCUGCACAGUGAGAGUCCAGCCUGUCACCACGGAGACCCUCAAAAGCAUCUGGGCAAAGCAGGAGCAGCCCCCUAGGAAGGUUGGAGGGCUGCACCAAUUCCAAAGGCAGCAACUUGCCCAUCACCACCCGGGGGUGCCAAAAAAUCCUUGUGAGUGUAAACUGAAGUGACAAUGCAGAACAUUGCGACUCCUCUCUGACCUUCUGUGAUGGUCAGGCUGAGUUGGGAAGCAUUUGGGGUGGAAAACAAAAAAAUGGAGAAGAAAGAGAAGAAGAGACACAAACCUGGCUAUAGUCAUUUUCUUCUGCAUGAAAAGGAGUGCACGGUGUGUGCAGAGAUAUGAAAAUGACAGGAAGUAAAGCGGGUGAGGACAGCGCCAAGGAGGAGGGUGAAGCCCCGUAGCCACCACCCAGGGCAAGAAGUAUGGCGACCGUUCUUCCCCGCUCAUCUUGGCUCAUGUGAGGAAGCAAGGUCACAAGGGGCCACAUCAUCGCCCCCAACCAAAGCCUUGUGUAUGUGAGAGGAGAGACAGAGACAGAGACUGAGCGGUACGUUCCAGGUAAGAGCCCAUCUAUGUAUGUAUGCCUGGACCUAACUUUCCAAACUACCUACCUGUACCUUCCCACAUGCCUGUAAGUUAUUUGAAGGCAGGGAAAACAUCUUAUUCAUUUCUGUCUUCUCAAGAACUAGCCUAGUGCCCGCCACAUAGGGUUACUCAAAAAUGGUGGAAGGAAUGAAUGGAUGAGUGGUAUAUACCACCACUAACCCUGCCCCAUCACCCCAAAGUUCCUGCUGUUUGAGGGUAAGCCAGUUGUGAUUCUCAGGAUUUCCAGCAUUUGACCGAGAACCUGGGACUUCAGAGGCUGAGAAGUGAAUUUCGGGGCUGGUGAGGUCCUGCCUCAGGAGAUACCCUAGAACAAAGGGCUCCUACUCCUCCACCCUGACACUUCUUAGCCUGCACACCGGUGGUGGGGGUGGAGGUUUGGCAUGGGUUCUGGGGGGCAUUCCCACCAUGGGGAUUGCACCCAACGUUGUCCACAGUCCCUGGGCUCCCAGCGAACUGCACCUUCUCCUCCACCCCACCCUGAAGGCCUCAUGCUACAACAGUCAGCUGGGUCUUGAAUUCUUCCUUCCUCUCCCUCCAGCUGGCUUAACUCUUCUGACCUCUCCCCUCCUCCAUGUUGACACUUAAAAUUAAGUACUCCUCUGAACCACUGAUGCCAGUGUCCCCCCGUUCCCAAGGUUCACUGACCUCUGGCCUGCUUCCCCGCUGGAUGGAAGAGGAAGGGGGAGGGAACACAGAAAAGAUACUCUGGAGUCAUUCCAUAAAUCCACUCAGAUCUACCCAGUACAGAAGGUUCUGGGGCGAUCUGCAGAAAGGUGGCCGGAAAUGCCAAACAGGUUUGGGAAGAUCAGGUAAAAGAGAGAAGAGGCUGAGGAACCAGUCCCGGGGCUAGCCUUUAGAGCCACGGCCUGCUCCUUGCAUGAGGGGGUUCUGGCCGCUCAUCAUCAAGUACUAACUCCAAAAACCAGCCAGUGAGGAAGAUUCAGGCUCCUCCAUCAGUCAUCUUUGCCCUUUCUCUGGAAAGAAGGGCAAAGAAGGGCUGAACCAGUGACCAGGGCAACUUGACAGUUCAGGACCUGGGGAUGUCACCAAGUGACUCCCUGGUGGUGGGGGCUGGGUGGCUGGGAGUGGGCAAUGGGAGUGGGUUUAUGUAAGUUCUGGGGCUCGUGAUGGAG